UGCGUAGGCUGAAUUGUAAGUCAGUGGUGAAAUCUUGCAGCUUAACUGUAAAAUUGCCAUUGAUACUGCUAUUCUUGAGUAUAGUUGAGGUAGGCGGAAUGUGUAAUGUAGCGGUGAAAUGCUUAGAUAUUACACAGAACACCGAUUGCGUAGGCAGCUUACUAAACUAUAACUGACGCUGAGGCACGAAAGCGUGGGGAGCGAACA
This 207-nucleotide ribosomal RNA is filed under the name uncultured bacterium. RNAcentral's name for it is "partial 16S ribosomal RNA". It matches the Rfam family "Bacterial small subunit ribosomal RNA", at positions 568 to 774 of the family's 1533-position model. The record is from RNAcentral.